Molecule: non-coding RNA, 187 nt
Organism: Gasterosteus aculeatus aculeatus (three-spined stickleback)
Lineage: Eukaryota; Metazoa; Chordata; Actinopteri; Perciformes; Gasterosteidae
Source: RefSeq, a predicted model, not a curated record
UAAACAUCUGGAGAUUUUGCAAGAAGAGACAAGUGAUGUCAAUCUGAAAAGGACAGCUAUCCUAAAGGCUCUUUGCAUCUACCUGGGACAUUGAAGGAAAUGACAUCCUGAGAGACCUGCAAAAGCAUACCAUGGGUAUAUAUGUCAUCAACAAGGAGGGUGGAGAAAUGCGACAUUGUGAUGACAU